This 255-nucleotide ribosomal RNA is filed under the name uncultured bacterium. Its description in RNAcentral is "partial 16S ribosomal RNA". It matches the Rfam family "Bacterial small subunit ribosomal RNA", at positions 524 to 777 of the family's 1533-position model. The record is from RNAcentral.
UACGGAGGGUGCAAGCGUUAUUCGGAAUCAUUGGGCGUAAAGGGCGCGUAGGCGGUAUGUCAAGUCAGAUGUGAAAUCCCGGGGCUUAACUUCGGAGGGUCAUUUGAAACUGACAUACUUGAGUUCGGUAGAGGAAUGCGGAAUUCCUGGUGUAGCGGUGAAAUGCGUAGAUAUCAGGAGGAACAUCAGUGGCGAAGGCGGCUUUCUGGCCCGAUACUGACGCUGAUGCGCGAAGGCAUGGGGUAGCAAACGGGG